GUCAACAGGCUAAGAAUGGAAUUACAGUGUUGGCUGGGGUGAUUGACCCAGACUAUCAAGAUGAAAUUAGUCUACUACUCCACAAUGGAGCUGACUGAUGAAUAAGAAAAGACUGAAAGGAAAAGGAACUAUGGGCUGCCUCAUCUUUCUACUUCCUUCUAUGUCAUCAUUUUCAGCACAAGUAAUUGGCAAAUACAGGGAAGUAACACAAAUAAAAAAGGAUAGGUAGAA
Long non-coding RNA from Pan troglodytes (chimpanzee), 231 nucleotides. RefSeq lists it as uncharacterized. NCBI's taxonomy places the organism in Eukaryota, Metazoa, Chordata, Mammalia, Primates, Hominidae. The record is from RefSeq and is a predicted model, not a curated record. The transcript is spliced from 2 exons.